Molecule: transfer RNA, 67 nt
Filed under: Marmota monax (woodchuck)
Lineage: Eukaryota; Metazoa; Chordata; Mammalia; Rodentia; Sciuridae
Description: tRNA.Thr
Rfam family: tRNA
About the family: Transfer RNA (tRNA) molecules are approximately 80 nucleotides in length. Their secondary structure includes four short double-helical elements and three loops (D, anti-codon, and T loops).
Source: RNAcentral
GGUUGUAGCUCAGUGGUAGAGUGCUUGCCUUGUAUGUGUGAGGCCCUGGGUUCAAUCCUCAACACCA